RNAcentral lists this ribosomal RNA (253 nucleotides) under uncultured bacterium. RNAcentral describes it as "partial 16S ribosomal RNA". It matches the Rfam family "Bacterial small subunit ribosomal RNA", at positions 524 to 776 of the family's 1533-position model. The record is from RNAcentral.
AACGUAGGACGCAAGCGUUAUCCGGAGUUACUGGGCGUAAAGCGCGGGCAGGCGGUUGCUCAAGUCUGAUGUGAAAUCUCCUCGCUCAACGGGGAGCAGCCAUUGGAAACUGGGCAACUGGAGUCUGGCAGAGGUAGGCGGAAUUCCGGGUGGAGUGGUGAAAUGCGUAGAGAUCGACAAGAACACCGGUGGCGAAGGCGGGUCUCUGGACAGUUCCUGACGCUGAGGGACGAAAGCUAGGGGAGCAAACGGG